Molecule: long non-coding RNA, 404 nt
Filed under: Brassica rapa (field mustard)
Lineage: Eukaryota; Viridiplantae; Streptophyta; Magnoliopsida; Brassicales; Brassicaceae
Description: long non-coding RNA (BRAP_LNC005725)
Source: RNAcentral
AGGGUUUUAAUCGUUUUUUAUUUAGAGUUUAGGAUUUAUCCAAGGGUUUAGGGUUUACCCAAGGGUUUAGGGUUUACCCAAGGGUUUAGGGUUUAUGAUUUAAGGUUUAGGGAUUAGGAUUUAUGGUUUAGUGUUUUGUUGACAACAUUAAAAAUAUAUUUUUUUUUAAUUUUUUUCUGUAACUAUUAUCUUUUUUUACUUUUUUAUUUUAAAAACAUAAUAAAAUUUGAGAAUAUUUUGUUUCCUUUUUUAAAAGAUAUCGAAUUUGAAAUAAUGAAAUCCUAUUGGUUGGUGAACCUAGAGGUUCACCCUAGGGGGUGAACCCAAGAAUGACUCGUCGUACAUAAACGGAACAUAUUUUUUUCUCGACUUUUUCUUGGGUUCACUCCAUAGGGUGAACUUUU